Molecule: RNA transcript, 1867 nt
Organism: Myotis myotis
Lineage: Eukaryota; Metazoa; Chordata; Mammalia; Chiroptera; Vespertilionidae
Gene: GDPGP1
Gene name: GDP-D-glucose phosphorylase 1
Exons: 3
Source: RefSeq, a predicted model, not a curated record
UCUGGGCGGUCCCUGGCGAGCUGGGGGCGUGGUUAGGGGCGUGGCCAGACCACAGCCCCCGCCUCCGGGGGCGGACGGGGCGGGCCACGCCGCGUGCGUGCGCGCGGGCUGCGCAUGCGCGAAGGGCACCGCGUCCUCGCUGCUCUGGCUGCAGUAGCUGAGGGUCCAUCGCGCCGAGCGUCCUCCUCGCCUGCGGUGGGCGGCGGCGGCCUCGGGUGAGGUCGGGUAAAGGGCAGCAGGGAAGUCUGGGGCCAGGGGGGCCUGGAAGCUCUCUGAGUAGCCAUUGGCCGCCGGCUGCCCCUGUGCCUGAGGACGGCUUUUGCAUCCUGACGUCACCACCCGGCCCCCGCCUCACGUGUUGCAGCCCCCAGGUCGCCUCUGCAGACGUACCCGGCAACUUACUGCCUGUGAGGCUGUGUCCUGACACCCGCCGGAUGCCAAACGCUGUGCGGAGUGACUUCGAUUUUUGCAACAGCCCUGCAAGGCCGGCCCAUGGCGGAUUCAGCUGGUUCAAGCGAAACUUCCUACCUGCUCCCUCCAAACAGGGAGGACUGGGAAGAGCACAGCAUCCCUGACUUUGUCUUUGGACAGAAGGAACUCUCCCGGGAAGCGAUUCAGUGGCCCAGGACCGCGCCCAGCCUCCCGGACACCCUGCCUCUGUCUCGUUUUGACUCGGCGCUCUGCUCUGCCUGGAGACAGCGGAUGGAGCUGGGGCUGUUCCGCUACCGCCUGGGGGAGCUGCAGACCCGGAUGCUCCCUGGUUCCAUGGGCUUCGUGGCUCAGCUGAAUGUGGAACGAGGGGUGCAGAGGAGGCGCCCCCAGAACAUCAGGAGCGUCAGGCAGGCCUUUGACCCCGAAGAGUUUAACUUCAACAAAAUCCGGCCGGGAGAAGUCCUCUUCCGUUUGCGCCGGGAGCCGGAUCCCCCGGGGGUUCUCCAGCAAGAGGGGGUCCUCCAGCAAGAGGAUAUCCUCGUGAUGAUCAACGUGAGCCCCCUGGAGUGGGGCCACGUGCUGCUGGUGCCCGAGCCCGCCCGGGGACUCCCCCAGCGCCUGCUGCCGGGUGCACUCCGGGCCGGGCUGGAGGCCGUGCUGCUGAGCUCACACCCGGGUUUUCGCGUCGGCUUCAACAGCCUGGGCGGCCUGGCCUCCGUCAACCACCUCCACCUGCACGGCUAUUACCUGCCCCACAGGCUGCCCGUGGAGGGGGCACCCAGUGAGCCCCUGGACCCUGGGGGCCGUUUGCACCUGCUGCAGGCUGUCCCAGCUCCCGGCUUCCUCUUUUACACCAGCGGGCCAGGCCCGGACUUAGAAGCCUUGAUAAGCAGGGUGUGUCGAGCCACGGACUAUCUGACUGCCCGUGAGAUUGCACACAACCUGUUCGUGACCCGGGGCGCACCACCUGGACAGACUUCCUUUUCCUCAGCGCUCACAGGGGUCCGGGUGAUCCUCUGGGCCCGGAAGUCCAGCUUUGGGGUGAAGGAGCAAGAGGCCUUCAAUGUUGCCCUUUGCGAGCUGGCCGGGCACCUCCCUGUGAAAACGCCCCAGGACUUCAGCAGCCUGACGGAGGCGGCCGCGCUGGCCCUCAUUCAGGACUGUCUGCUGCCCCCAGCGCAGGCAGAAGAGGUCCGGGCAGCACUGGUGGCCUUGACAGCCCAGGAGGAGCAAUAAUUAGGGCAUUGCCAUCACUGCUCUCUCACCGGGUCUUAGGCUCAGAGGAGGGAGCGAGAACUGAUAAACAUGGUCUCUUUCAAGAGGGGAUCCCUUGGAAUAAACCGAAUGAAUGCCCUCCUUCUAGCACAUUCUUCACCUGCCUGGCUACCUGGAAUUUUCCUCCAGCCCUAACAAACACAGAUGAGUACUCUUCCCA